RNAcentral lists this non-coding RNA (31 nucleotides) under Rattus norvegicus (Norway rat). Lineage: Eukaryota; Metazoa; Chordata; Mammalia; Rodentia; Muridae. The record is from RNAcentral.
UGUACCUACCAAGAAACAUAAUGAUGAAGAC